Molecule: ribosomal RNA, 1496 nt
Filed under: uncultured Halanaerobiales bacterium
Lineage: Bacteria; Bacillati; Bacillota; Clostridia; Halanaerobiales
Description: bacterial SSU rRNA
Rfam family: Bacterial small subunit ribosomal RNA
Source: RNAcentral
UCAGGACGAACGCUGGCGGCGUGCUUAACACAUGCAAGUCGAACGGUCUUUGCAGACAGAUUCCUUCGGGAUGAAGACUGUACAAGAUAGUGGCGGACGGGUGAGUAACGCGUGGGUAAUCUGCCUCUGAAUCGGGGAUAACUUACCGAAAGGUGAGCUAAUACCGGAUAAGCUCUUUGGAUCGCAUGGUCUAAAGAGGAAAGAUGGUUUACUAUCGAUCAGAGAUGAGCCCGCGUUCCAUUAGCUAGUUGGUGAGGUAACGGCUCACCAAGGCGACGAUGGAUAGUCGGCCUGAGAGGGUGAUCGGCCACACUGGGACUGAGACACGGCCCAGACUCCUACGGGAGGCAGCAGUGGGGAAUAUUCGGCAAUGGGGGCAACCCUGACCGAGCAACGCCGCGUGGGUGAAGAAGUUUUUCGGAACGUAAAGCCCUGUCAUGAGGGAAGAAUGAUCUGAUGUUUAAGAGAUGUCAGAAGUGACGGUACCUCAUAAGAAAGCUCCGGCUAACUACGUGCCAGCAGCCGCGGUAAUACGUAGGGAGCAAGCGUUGUCCGGAAUCAUUGGGCGUAAAGGGUGCGUAGGCGGUUUGUUAAGUCAAAUGUGAAAUACACUGGCUCAACCAGUGGGCUGCGUUUGAAACUGGCAAACUUGAGUGCAGGAGAGGAGAGUGGAAUUCCUGGUGUAGCGGUGAAAUGCGUAGAGAUCAGGAAGAACAUCGAUGGCGAAGGCAGCUCUCUGGCCUGCAACUGACGCUGAGGCACGAAAGCGUGGGGAGCAAACAGGAUUAGAUACCCUGGUAGUCCACGCCGUAAACGAUGGAUACUAGGUGUAGGAGGUUCGAUUCCUUUCUGUGCCGCAGUUAACGCAAUAAGUAUCCCGCCUGGGGAGUACGGUCGCAAGAUUGAAACUCAAAGGAAUUGACGGGGGCCCGCACAAGCGGUGGAGCAUGUGGUUUAAUUCGAUGCAACGCGAAGAACCUUACCAAGGCUUGACAUCCCAUGACUACCUAUGAAAAUAGGGUUGCCCUUCGGGGCCAUGGAGACAGGUGGUGCAUGGUUGUCGUCAGCUCGUGUCGUGAGAUGUUGGGUUAAGUCCCGCAACGAGCGCAACCCUUGUCCUUAGUUGCCAGCAUUAAGUUGGGGACUCUAAGGAGACUGCCGGUGACAAACCGGAGGAAGGUGGGGAUGACGUCAAAUCAUCAUGCCCUUUAUGCCUUGGGCUACACACGUGCUACAAUGUGUUAUACAGAGGGCGGCGAAGCCGUGAGGUGAAGCAAAUCCCUUAAAGUAACCCCCAGUUCGGAUUGUAGGCUGUAACUCGCCUACAUGAAGUUGGAAUCGCUAGUAAUCGCAGGUCAGCAUACUGCGGUGAAUACGUUCCCGGGCCUUGUACACACCGCCCGUCACACCACCCGAGUCUGAUGCACCAGAAGUCGCUGUCCUAACCAUUUGGAGGGAGGCGCCAAAGGUGUGUCCGGUAAGGGGGGUGAAGUCGU